ACACAGGUCACCAGGGAAGUGGGGGAAAGCUGGCAGUCACAGGCCUCACCCCUCUCCCACACAGCCCUCAGUCCUAAAGGCUGGUCUCACUCCCAUCCUGCCACGCAACAGCACAGGGUCUAUUUCGAGACAGCCAGUGACCAGGGCUGAGAACUUGCCCCAGACCACCAGCCUCCUCACUGAGAAAGCAAGCAGAAUCACAGUUUUUUGGAAUCUCAGGGAGCCUUCAGCGGCAAUCCAGUUCCUUCAAAGGGUCUGUGGAUUCUCUCAGUUUUCAUGGGGUGUCAGCUGUGACCCUCGAAGGAAAGGGAUCACCCUCUUUCUGACCCUAUACCACCUUCAGCAGGGAUGAAGGCAGUCAGAGAAAACUUAGUUAAAAAAUUUCUAAACUGCUUUGCUGAUUUGAUCUGGGGCCCUGGAGUGCCAACAUCCUGUGAUAGCGGCUGAUUGUUGAUGCCUGGGAGGAUACAGCAGUGACGAUCCAAAUUUACAAGACUCAACAUGGUUUUCAAAACUUCCUUUUAAAAAAGAUGUUCCUGAGUUCUGGAAUCUGAACAAAAUAUGUCUGGUUAUUAUAUAAUUCUAAUGGUCCUUGUGGAUGCUACCAUUAGAGUUCAGUUAGUGUCUCAUCUAUCACUGUAAUAUUUGUAUUGUAACACUAAUCGUGGCAAAGUAUGAUUUGAUAAAUGCUCAUUCUCAAAUCUUUUAUUUUAGUGUGUUCAUGUAAGAUUAAUGACCAUGAUGACUUGAGAUAG
Molecule: long non-coding RNA, 755 nt
Filed under: Homo sapiens (human)
Lineage: Eukaryota; Metazoa; Chordata; Mammalia; Primates; Hominidae
Description: novel transcript
Source: RNAcentral